GCCCUUAUAAGUAAUGGUAUACUGACGCUUUGGUAGGGCGUAAUUGAAAGUUCGAUUCUUUCUGAGGGCACCA
RNAcentral lists this transfer RNA (73 nucleotides) under Richelia sp. RM2_1_2. RNAcentral's name for it is "tRNA-Thr". It matches the Rfam family "tRNA". From Rfam's summary of the family: Transfer RNA (tRNA) molecules are approximately 80 nucleotides in length. Their secondary structure includes four short double-helical elements and three loops (D, anti-codon, and T loops). The record is from RNAcentral. Lineage: Bacteria; Bacillati; Cyanobacteriota; Cyanophyceae; Nostocales; Nostocaceae.